RNAcentral lists this ribosomal RNA (468 nucleotides) under uncultured bacterium. Its description in RNAcentral is "partial 16S ribosomal RNA". It matches the Rfam family "Bacterial small subunit ribosomal RNA", at positions 28 to 507 of the family's 1533-position model. The record is from RNAcentral.
GACGAACGCUGGCGGCGUGCUUAACACAUGCAAGUCGAACGGAAAGGCCCUGCUUUUGUGGGGUGCUCGAGUGGCGAACGGGUGAGUAACACGUGAGUAACCUGCCCUUGACUUUGGGAUAACUUCAGGAAACUGGGGCUGAUACCGGAUAGGAGCUCCUGCUGCAUGGUGGGGGUUGGAAAGUUUCGGCGGUUGGGGAUGGACUCGCGGCUUAUCAGCUUGUUGGUGGGGUAGUGGCUUACCAAGGCUUUGACGGGUAGCCGGCCUGAGAGGGUGACCGGCCACAUUGGGACUGAGAUACGGCCCAGACUCCUACGGGAGGCAGCAGUGGGGAAUAUUGCACAAUGGGCGGGAGCCUGAUGCAGCAACGCCGCGUGCGGGAUGACGGCCUUCGGGUUGUAAACCGCUUUCGCCUGUGACGAAGCGUGAGUGACGGUAAUGGGUAAAGAAGCACCGGCUAACUACGUG